UGCGCACACACGUCGCAACCGCCCUCGAUGAGAUGAAGCUCCCGCUGACGCUGCAUCCUGCGAACCAUCUCGCUGUCCAGUGCCUGCUCCUCCACGCCGCGCUCAGCUCAGACAGCGUCGGCGGCUUCACCAUGGACUACGCCCAGCACGAGCAGUACAACACGGCCGCCAGUAUCGCACGACUGCGCACGCGCUACAACUGGGAAGGGCAGCACGGCCGGCGUCAUACGGUACGGUUGUCGCCCUGCUGGCAGGGACUACUGCGCCCACCGGCAGCGGCUGCUGCCGCCUCCGUGACCAGCAGCAGCGCUGCACAGUCGACGACGGUAGCGGCAACGACAGGGGUCCCGGCCAGUUGUGUUGACGCGCCGUCUUGGUUGGUGCCUCCGUCGUCGGCGCUCGAAACAACGCAGCAGCAGACAGCAGAUGCUAAUCGCGCGCUGGCCUUUGCGGCUCCCGCCCGACUCAUCGCGCUUUACGCCCCUCCCGUCCUCCUUCGCGGGCUGCAACGGCGCAUCCACGACAUGGUCAGCUACGACGCCGCAGUGCACCACGCAUCGCUGCUGAUGCAACUACUCGCUCCAUACGGCAUCCACGUCGCCUUGACCGGCGCCACGCGGCGCGGCUGCCCGUUCUCCCUCCAAGCGGAGUAUCUUCUUUGCCUCACAGAGGCGGCGACGUGCGAGGUGGAGGCGGUGCACCCAGACGACGCUGGCAGGGUGGAGGAGAGCGACAGGGGCGCAGUCGAGCAUGUCAUCAACGACCACGGCGACGACGCCAGCGGCAGCGGUGCGUCCGCAGUGAGCACGGCGGCCACUGCUGUUACCGAUCCUCCGACGCGCGAGGCACGGCGCUCCAAGGUGCGGGCGGAGAGGGCGACGAAGCAGCAGCGGCGCGCAAGGGCGGCGAUUCAGCGUGAUGCACUGAUGUUGCGUCCGCCAUCAUUACCGUCUGCGUCGUCGCUGGCGGCCGCAGCCAGCGUUUCCAGGGAAGAGGAUGGCGGCGCAUCAGCGGUCGCCGGCGGGGGCGCCGGGCACCGUCACCAGGCAUGCAUUCGCGGGCGUCUCGGGGGAUCGCUGCGACGGCGCGACUGCGACCGGCGCAGUGCCUUCUCAUCGGCCGACGACGUAAGCCCGCAGGUUUCAUACCGCGUGCGACGCGCGCUCGAGAGCCUCGUCCGGUGCGGCUACAUCGUGUCCGCCGCCCAGCCGUUCCCGCCAUCGCAGUCGCGUCUCGAGGCACGCAAGGCGAUGUACUUGACAGCGCGCUAUGACCCGCACUUGCCAACGCAGGUGCCACCACGGGCAUGCACCGACCCUGCCGUGCUCCGGCGCCUGCAGCUGCACCGGCUCGUUCUACGCCUUUGCCCGUGGCAUGCGUUUGCCGCGCGGCAGCUGUUCCUAACGGGUCCAGAGGAUUUCACCACCCACGUGACGCUGCAGGCACUCGGUCACGGCGUCGACGUGAACAUGAACGGCGCCUUCAUUCUGGGGAAAGCCUGCGCGGCGAGCGGUGAGGGCGGAGUGGGCAACACAACCUCCGCCAUCGCCGCUAAGGCUGCGAGCGAGGCUCAAGGUGGCUCCUUGCCACCAGUGCACCACAAGGGGCAGACGCGGCGCCGCUGCGACCUUGUCGAGCAGCUGAUCCUGCAAGGUGAGGAGGACCUUGUAUCACUGGCGGGGCUGCCGCGUGUUGACCCGAUGCUGCGUGGUCUCUACUGCCAGAAAAAUCACCUGUGAGGUCGUCUGAGAAAGGAGGGCGGGAAGUGGGCACACGGGUGGAUGCAGUAAGGCGGCUAAAGUAUAUUCACGCAUCCCAUGUCAUCACCUCCUCGUUUGGCCUGCGUCGACUCGACGCUGCAUGACGGCCGCUGCUACUUCAGCUGCUCUUUUUAGUUUUCUUGCAUUAUGCUUGGUUUGCGGUCGCUUUCUCCCGCGUCCAUUUCGUGCGCCGGCUUCCGCCGUUCUACCAGCCAUCCGC
This 1980-nucleotide unclassified non-coding RNA is filed under the name Leishmania donovani. Its description in RNAcentral is "gene:LdHU3.01.0450(CDS-product:hypothetical_prote in_conserved)". The record is from RNAcentral. Lineage: Eukaryota; Euglenozoa; Kinetoplastea; Trypanosomatida; Trypanosomatidae.